CGGAACGGGUGAGUAAUGCGUGACCAACCUGCCCCAUGCUCCAGAAUAGCUCUUGGAAACGGGUGGUAAUGCUGGAUGCUCCAACUUGACGCAUGUCUUGUUGGAAAGUGUUUAGUGGCAUGGGAUGGGGUCGCGUCCUAUCAGCUUGUAGGCGGGGUAAUGGCCCACCUAGGCUUCGACGGGUAGCCGGCCUGAGAGGGCGGACGGCCACAUUGGGACUGAGAUACGGCCCAGACUCCUACGGGAGGCAGCAGCC
This 256-nucleotide ribosomal RNA is filed under the name uncultured Gardnerella sp. RNAcentral describes it as "partial 16S ribosomal RNA". It matches the Rfam family "Bacterial small subunit ribosomal RNA", at positions 98 to 355 of the family's 1533-position model. Lineage: Bacteria; Bacillati; Actinomycetota; Actinomycetes; Bifidobacteriales; Bifidobacteriaceae. The record is from RNAcentral.